Long non-coding RNA from Drosophila ficusphila, 472 nucleotides. RefSeq lists it as uncharacterized. Lineage: Eukaryota; Metazoa; Arthropoda; Insecta; Diptera; Drosophilidae. The transcript has 3 exons. The record is from RefSeq and is a predicted model, not a curated record.
UUGGGUUUCCAUUCCAUUCAGUUGUUAAGUAAAAUUCAAAUUGAAAACAUGGCAAAAUACAGUGCUCGUUCUACAAAAAUUUCACGUGAUAUUUUUAUUAAAGACAAGGACUUUUACAUUACGAUAUACACAACUAGAGAAGAAAUGAACGCAUAAUAUUGAGAUGUUAGUAUAGUUAAAUGGCAGCGCUAUUCCCGAAUGCUGAUAUUUUACUCAACGGUAUACACAGGUUUAGAUUAGUUAACUUAAAAUCAAAAACAUGAGAAUGGGAUCCAGCGCUUUAUAAAUGUGUAAUAAACACAGUUUCAUAUCAGAAUGCAGAUGCAGGAGUUCCUUUCGACCAUAAAAAGUAACCACAAUAUCAAGUCAUCACGGCUAAAAGUGGGGUGCCGUUGCAUUAGUUUCUUAUAAUUUAUUUUGUUUUAAAAACGUAUCAUGUGAGGGGUCGAGGUUUCAUUAAAUGUAAUACCUA